UGGGGUGUAGCCAAGUGGUAAGGCAGAGGACUUUGACUCCUUCAUCCGUAGGUUCGAUCCCUACCACCUCAG
This 72-nucleotide transfer RNA is filed under the name Merotricha bacillata. RNAcentral's name for it is "tRNA-Gln". It matches the Rfam family "tRNA". Rfam says of the family: Transfer RNA (tRNA) molecules are approximately 80 nucleotides in length. Their secondary structure includes four short double-helical elements and three loops (D, anti-codon, and T loops). The record is from RNAcentral. Lineage: Eukaryota; Raphidophyceae; Chattonellales; Vacuolariaceae.